AUUGAACGCUGGCGGCAUGCUUUACACAUGCAAGUCGAACGGUAACAGGCCUUCGGGUGCUGACGAGUGGCGAACGGGUGAGUAAUGCAUCGGAACGUGCCCAGAGGUGGGGGAUAACGCAGCGAAAGCUGUGCUAAUACCGCAUGUGAUCUGAGGAUGAAAGCGGGGGACCAGGCAGCAAUGUUUGGCCUCGCGCCUUUGGAGCGGCCGGUGUCAGAUUAGGUAGUUGGUGGGGUAAAGGCCUACCAAGCCGACGAUCUGUAGCUGGUCUGAGAGGACGACCAGCCACACUGGGACUGAGACACGGCCCAGACUCCUACGGGAGGCAGCAGUGGGGAAUUUUGGACAAUGGGCGCAAGCCUGAUCCAGCAAUGCCGCGUGCGGGAAGAAGGCCUUCGGGUUGUAAACCGCUUUUGUACGGAACGAAAAGGCUCUGGCUAAUACCUGGGGCUGAUGACGGUACCGUAAGAAUAAGCACCGGCUAACUACGUG
This 492-nucleotide ribosomal RNA is filed under the name uncultured bacterium. RNAcentral's name for it is "partial 16S ribosomal RNA". It matches the Rfam family "Bacterial small subunit ribosomal RNA", at positions 30 to 507 of the family's 1533-position model. The record is from RNAcentral.